This 442-nucleotide ribosomal RNA is filed under the name uncultured bacterium. Its description in RNAcentral is "partial 16S ribosomal RNA". It matches the Rfam family "Bacterial small subunit ribosomal RNA", at positions 338 to 795 of the family's 1533-position model. The record is from RNAcentral.
CCUACGGGAGGCAGCAGUGGGGAAUAUUGGUCAAUGGACGCAAGUCUGACCCAGCAACGCCGCGUGAAGGAAGAAGGCUCUCUGGUUGUAAACUUCUUUUUAGGGGGAAGAGCAGAAGACGGUACCCCUUGAAUAAGCCAUGGCUAACUACUUGCCAGCAGCCGCGGUAAUACGUAGGUGGCAAGCGUUGUCCGGAUUUACUGGGUGUAAAGGGCGUGCAGCCGGGAAGACAAGUCAGAUGUGAAAUCCCGCGGCUCAAACGCGGAACUGCAUUUGAAACUGUUUUUCUUGAGUAUCGGAGAGGUGAGCGGAAUUCGUGGUGUAGCGGUGAAAUGCGUAGAUAUUAGGAAGAACACCGGUGGCGAAGGCAGAUUACUGGACGACAACUGACGGUGAGGCGCGAAAGCGUGGGGAGCAAACAGGAUUAGAUACCCGUGUAGUC